CCUACGGGUGACAGCAGUGAGGAAUAUUGGUCAAUGGGCGAGAGCCUGAACCAGCCAAGUCGCGUGAAGGAUGAAGGAUCUAUGGGUUGUAAACUUCUUUUAUAGGGGAAUAAAGUGAGGAACGUGUUCCUUUUUGUAUGAACCAUAUAAAUAAGAAUCGGCUAACUCCGGGCCAGCCGCCGCGGAAAUACGGAGGAGGGGAGCGUUAUCCGGAUUUAUUGGGUUUAAAGGGUGCGUAGGGGGGUAAUUAAGUCAGCGGUUAACGUUUGUGGCUAAACCAUAAAAUUGCCGUUGAAACUGGUUGACUUGAGUAUAUGUGAGGUAGGCGGAAUGCGUGUUGUAGCGGUGACAUGCAUAGAUAUCACGCAGAACUCCGAUUGCGAAGGCAGCUUACUAAACUAUAACUGACACUGAAGCCCGAAAGCGUGGGUAUCAAACAGGAUUAGCUACCCGUGUAGUC
This 460-nucleotide ribosomal RNA is filed under the name uncultured bacterium. RNAcentral describes it as "partial 16S ribosomal RNA". It matches the Rfam family "Bacterial small subunit ribosomal RNA", at positions 338 to 795 of the family's 1533-position model. The record is from RNAcentral.